CGCUGGCGGCGUGCUUAACACAUGCAAGUCGAACGAUGAAGCCUAGCUUGCUAGGUGGAUUAGUGGCGCACGGGUGAGUAAUAUAUAGAUAACGUGCCUCUUAGUCUGGGAUAGCCAUUGGAAACGAUGAUUAAUACUAGAUACUCCUUCUCUAUCAAAUUAGAGUCGGGAAAGUUUUUCGCUAAGAGAUCGGUCUAUAUCCCAUCAGCUAGUUGGUAGUGUAAGAGACUACCAAGGCAAUGACGGGUAGCGGGUUUGAGAGGAUGAUCCGCCACACUGGUACUGAGACACGGACCAGACUCCUACGGGAGGCAGCAGUGAGGAAUAUUGCACAAUGGAGGAAACUCUGAUGCAGCAACGCCGCGUGGAGGAUGACGCAUUUCGGUGUGUAAACUCCUUUUAUAUGUCAAGAAAAUGACGGUAGCAUAUGAAUAAGCACCGGCUAACUCCGUGCCAGCAGCCGCGGUAAUACGGAGGGUGCAAGCGUUAUUCGGAAUCACUGGGCGUAAAGGACGCGUAGGCGGGAUGCCAAGUCUGAUGUGAAAUCCUAUGGCUUAACCAUAGAACUGCAUUGGAAACUGGUAACCUAGAGUAUGGGAGGGGGAGAUGGAAUUAGUGGUGUAGGGGUAAAAUCCGUAGAUAUCACUAGGAAUACCGAAAGCGAAGGCGAUCUCCUGGAACAAUACUGACGCUAAGGCGUGAAAGCGUGGGGAGCAAACGGGAUUAGAUACCCCGGUAGUCCACGCCCUAAACGAUGUUCACUAGUCGUCGGGAUGCUAGUCAUCUCGGUGAUGCACUUAACAGAUUAAG
This 810-nucleotide ribosomal RNA is filed under the name uncultured bacterium. Its description in RNAcentral is "bacterial SSU rRNA". It matches the Rfam family "Bacterial small subunit ribosomal RNA", at positions 34 to 864 of the family's 1533-position model. The record is from RNAcentral.